ACCCUUUACUCGGGGAUAGCCUUUCGAAAGAAAGAUUAAUACCCGAUAGCAUAAUGAUUCCGCAUGGUUUCAUUAUUAAAGGAUUCCGGUAAAGGAUGGGGAUGCGUUCCAUUAGGUUGUUGGUGGGGUAACGGCCCACCAAGCCUUCGAUGGAUAGGGGUUCUGAGAGGAAGGUCCCCCACAUUGGAACUGAGACACGGUCCAAACUCCUACGGGAGGCAGCAUG
RNAcentral lists this ribosomal RNA (226 nucleotides) under uncultured bacterium. Its description in RNAcentral is "partial 16S ribosomal RNA". It matches the Rfam family "Bacterial small subunit ribosomal RNA", at positions 128 to 353 of the family's 1533-position model. The record is from RNAcentral.